RNAcentral lists this ribosomal RNA (460 nucleotides) under uncultured bacterium. Its description in RNAcentral is "partial 16S ribosomal RNA". It matches the Rfam family "Bacterial small subunit ribosomal RNA", at positions 338 to 795 of the family's 1533-position model. The record is from RNAcentral.
CCUACGGGUGGCAGCAGUGAGGAAUAUUGGUCAAUGGGCGGAAGCCUGAACCAGCCAAGCCGCGUGAAGGAAGACUGCUCUACGGGUUGUAAACUUCUUUUAUAAAGGAGUAAAGUGAGGCACGUGUGCCUUUUUGUAUGUACUUUAUGAAUAAGGAUCGGCUAACUCCGUGCCAGCAGCCGCGGUAAUACGGAGGAUCCGAGCGUUAUCCGGAUUUAUUGGGUUUAAAGGGAGCGUAGGUGGCUUGUUAAGUCAGUUGUGAAAUUUUGCGGCUCAACCCGAGAAUUGCCAUUGAUACUGGAAGCCUUGAGAGCAGUUGAGGUAGGCGGAAUUCGUGGUGUAGCGGUGAAAUGCUUAGAUAUCACGAAGAACACCGAUUGCGAAGGCAGCUUACUAAACUGCCACUGACAUUGAUGCUCGAAAGCGUGGGUAGCAAACAGGAUUAGAUACCCUUGUAGUC